UACGAGGGGUGCGAGCGUUAUUCGGAAUCAUUGGGCGUACAGGGUGCGUAGACGGCAUGUUAAGUCAACUGUUAAAUUCCCUGGCCUAACUGGGGGCAAGCAGUAGAUACUGAUGUGCUAGAGGGUGGAAGAGAGAAGUGGAAUUCUCGGAGUAGCGGUAAAAUGCGUAGAUCUCGAGAGGAACACCGAUGGCGAAGGCAGCUUCUUGGUCCAUUCCUGACGUUGAGGCACGAAAGCGUGGGGAG
Molecule: ribosomal RNA, 245 nt
Filed under: uncultured bacterium
Lineage: Bacteria
Description: partial 16S ribosomal RNA
Rfam family: Bacterial small subunit ribosomal RNA
Source: RNAcentral